Molecule: long non-coding RNA, 1637 nt
Organism: Brassica napus (rape)
Lineage: Eukaryota; Viridiplantae; Streptophyta; Magnoliopsida; Brassicales; Brassicaceae
Exons: 2
Source: RefSeq, a predicted model, not a curated record
UAAAAAAUUCAAAAAUAAAAGCCAAAUUAUAUUUAAAAAAAGCAAGUAGCAUAAGAAUAUGAUAUUAAUUGUUACUGUUUAAUAUUAAUUGAUGUUGUUGGUAGUUUAAGGGAGUAAUAUUUGGUUGUAACUACUUCAGUGGAAUGAUUCUGAUGUUAUUUAGUAAUUUUAUUAAUCCUGAUUUGUUUGAAUAAGUUAUUUUCACUUUGAAAUUCCUUGUCGACGUACUCACACUAUGGUUUAAGACUUUCAGUAGUAUGUGGAACCUUUACACUACGAGAAAAAAUCGUUUUCAUAGCACUACAGUAUAGCGUUUUUUGUCUUUCUGGUUGAUAUACCCCUUAAUUUUAGAUAGCGUUUGUAUAUUUGGAAACGCUAUGAUAGAAUGGUAUAUUCGGAAACGCUAUGAUAGCCUAUUUUUAAUAGCAGAAUAUAAUGAAAUGCUAUAUUUAGCUUUUUGAAUCCCCAAACCCUAAACAAAUUUUUAAUCCCUAAACUAUAAAACACAACUUAAAACUCUAAUAUUCUCAUACUAUAACUUUAGAUCCUAAACAUAAACUCGAAAUUUACUCUUUUUAAUAUUAAUAUAUAACUUUCAAAACACAAGCCUUAAAUCUUCAAUCAAACUCUAACAAUAUAAAUCCAAUCCCUAAACCACAUACUUUAACAUAUAUCAUAAGAACAUUAAACCUCAGAUUUUAAAUAAAAUAUAAUUUUUAUAAUAUAUAUCUCAGACUAUGUAUAAUAUUUCAAAUUUACAUUAUAAAAUUCAAAAAUAAAAAUAAAACCAUUAAAUAAAAACAACACAAAAAAAUGAUUAUAGAUAAAUGAACAGAUAAUUCUUAUUAGUUUAAUUUUGGGCCUUUGAUUAGUUUUGAUCCAAAGGCUAAAAAUCACUCUUUUGUGAUCUUCCUCCUUCGUUCUUAUUGGUCCAUUCUUCAAAAUUUGGAUUAAUUUUCUGACCAUUGAUUAUUUGUAAUCCAAUGGCCAAGAAUUCAUCUUUUCAUUUUCCUUCUUCUAGAGUUUAUCGAUCUCUUCCUCUCUGUAUCAUUCCCUUCAUCUCCCUCACUGUCUCAAACACACACACACGAUUCAUGUAACACACAUCUCCUUUCUCUGUAAUACUCUCCUCACACACACACGAGUCUGAAGGUGGAGUCGAACCCAGAACCCAGCGACCGCGGAUCUGAAGAUGCUUGACCACCGCCAUCUCCCCCUUUCGCCACCGUCUCUCUCACCACCACUGAUGUGGUAGUCAUUGGGUUUGCGGCUAGGAGGCGAUGGAGAAGCUGGUGGUCGUGAAGAGAGGUGGUGGUCAUGGGGCUUGCGGCGAGGAGGCGACGGAGAAGUGGGUGGUCGGAGCAGAGUGGUGGUCAUGGGGUUUGCAGCGAGGAGGAGACGGAGAAGUUGGUGGCCGUGAGAAGAGGUUGUGGUCAUGGGGCUUGCGGCGAGGAACGGAGAAGUUCGUGAGGAGGCUGGCUCAAGAAGAUUAGGUUUUGAUUAGGUUUAAUUAAAAUUAGGUUAGAUUAGAUUUAAUUUUUAAAACAUUUGGUUUAGUGUUAAGUGUAAACCGAUUCUUAUCUUUUAUCAAAUGUAAUUUAUAUUGUUUAAUAAAAAAUAAUUUAUUAUGUUUUUAA